RNAcentral lists this ribosomal RNA (460 nucleotides) under uncultured bacterium. RNAcentral's name for it is "partial 16S ribosomal RNA". It matches the Rfam family "Bacterial small subunit ribosomal RNA", at positions 338 to 795 of the family's 1533-position model. The record is from RNAcentral.
CCUACGGGAGGCAGCAGUGAGGAAUAUUGGUCAAUGGACGAGAGUCUGAACCAGCCAAGUAGCGUGAAGGAUGACUGCCCUAUGGGUUGUAAACUUCUUUUAUAUGGGAAUAACAUGUUCCACGUGUGGGAUUUUGUAUGUACCAUAUGAAUAAGGCUCGGCUAACUCCGUGCCAGCAGCCGCGGUAAUACGGAGGAUCCGAGCGUUAUCCGGAUUUAUUGGGUUUAAAGGGAGCGUAGGUGGAUUGUUAAGUCAGUUGUGAAAGUUUGCGGCUCAACCGUAAAAUUGCAGUUGAAACUGGCAGUCUUGAGUACAGUAGAGGUGGGCGGAAUUCGUGGUGUAGCGGUGAAAUGCUUAGAUAUCACGAAGAACUCCGAUUGCGAAGGCAGUUCACUGGACUGCAACUGACACUGAGGCUCGAAAGUGUGGGUAUCAAACAGGAUUAGAUACCCCAGUAGUC